This is a long non-coding RNA of Esox lucius (northern pike), 3300 nucleotides long. Lineage: Eukaryota; Metazoa; Chordata; Actinopteri; Esociformes; Esocidae. The record is from Ensembl.
GAAGUUAGUUGCCAUUUUCACUUGUUGCAUGUGUAAGUGAGAGUUCAUCAAAGUACAAUCCAAUCUUACUACAUCUAUUGUUGUUUUUGCUACAAGGUAUACAGCCUCAACAUUUAUUUGCAUGUGUGAGUGAAAACACACAAACAUGGAGGAGGAUGAGACUGAACGUUCGUCCCGGGAUUCUUCCCAACAUUCGGAUAAGCAAAAGGAUUCUGCCCAACCAAGACAAGAUGAGUUCAUAAAAAAGAGGGGGGCUACGUCUGUUGUUUGGAAUUGGUUUGGGUAUGAAAAAUCAGACACAGCAAAAAAUCAAACUUAGUAUACCGCAGAUCAGUCCCAAUUCCGACUCAAACACAACAAGCCUAUUUGAUCACCUAGAAAAGAAUCAUGAUGCAGUACCGAGAGAGACAAAAAAUUUUAACUAUCAAAGGAAAGUCGAGUGUUAAAAGCAAACAUCAGACGCAAACUUUGAAGGAUGCUUUUGCCCGAGGCACUCCAUAUGACAAGACAUCAGGAACAUGAAAGGAGAUAACGUGUGCCAUUACGAUACACAUAUGCAAAGACAUGGUGCCGAUUUACACCGUUGAGAAGACAGGGUUUAAAUCAUUAGUCAAAACCUGAGGUAUGUUAUGCCAAGCCGCAAGCAUUUGGUGAAAUUUAGUUGCCACGUUUAUAUGAAGAAUGUAGGGCUAAAGUUGUAGUGAAGCUUAGCGGGGUAACGUACUAUGCAAUAACAACCGACAUGUGGACGAGCCGAAUGACAGAGCCUUAUUUGAGCUUGACAAUCCAUUUAAUCAAAGACUGGACACUGUGUAGUCGAUGUCUACAGACUAGGUAUUUCCCCAAUGACCAUAAGGACAGCUUAUAGCCAAGGGUCUUAAGGAAGCUCUAGAGUCAUGGGGAUUGCUGGAAGAUCAGCUAGUCUGUGUCACCAUGGACAACGCCACUAACAAUAUCAGUGCUAUGGAGCGGAAAGACUGGAGGAGAUUAGUGUUUUGGCCAUUGACUUCAUCUAGCUAUUGAGCGAGGUGUGAAACUACCACAAGUGGAGCGUGCAGUUGGUGUCUGCAAGAAGUUGGUGGGUGCCUUCUCUAAUUCUUGUAAGAGAAGACAGGAGCUGACCAAGGCUGAAGUAGAGCUGGGCUUGCCUGCUCAUCAGCUGAUCACAGAGACCCCCACCAGAUGGGGAUCUUGACAACAGAUGAUUGAAAAGGGAGCAGGAGAAAGCUCUAACACAGGUCAUCCAAGCAGACAAGAAGACACGACAUCUGGCAGGAAAUGGGUGUUCUGGAGUCUAUCAACAAGGAACUCAGCCCCCUCAUGGAGUUUACAGAUGCCUUGUCUGGGGAGCAGUACACAAGUGUAUCUGUUGUGAAACCCGUGCACCACCUUUUUAAUAACUAAGUUCUCAAGCGUCAACAUGACGACAUUCCGCUCACCACGUCCAUCAAAGGCACUAUCCUCAAUUACUUAAAUGAGAAGUUUGAUGACGAAACCACAGAGGAGCUGCUUGACAUGGGUUCACUUCUCGAUCCUUGGUUCAAAACCACUUACAUAAAAGAAGAGAAGGAGGACUACAUGAAGACGAAAUCUGCGGCAGAAAUUGAGAGGCUAGCACCUAUACAAGUAGCGUCAGAAGACGCAGUCUCCAUUCCACCAGUUGCUAGAGAUGAGCCAGAGCUUUCUGCUAAGAAACAAUAGAAAAGUUUUGGCAGCUACUUAAAAAAAGCAGCAGUGCAAGACCAAGCCACCCCUCAGAGAGAAAGGGAGUUCAGCAACUACCUCCAAACAGAGAGCUACCCCCUGGAAUGGUGGAAGCAGGACAAGACAUAUUUCACACUGGUGGCCAGGCUAGCAAAGAAAUAUUUGUGCAUCCCGGCCACAAGAGCCCCAUCAGGGCGGGCGUUCAGCACAAGUGGGAAUAUUGUGAUAUGUAUUAGGUCAUCAUUAAAACCAGAGGGGGUUGACCAGCUUGUAUUCCUGGCCCUCAACCAAACCCCUGAAAGGCAGCACAAGGCAAAAAUAAAUUGUAAAAGAAACACGGAAACGUUGUCGCUGCUGUCUAUUUUGUUUGCUGCACUUUGAUUGUAUUACUUUUGGUAUUUUAUAUUCUUAUUUGUGUCAUUUAUUUAUUUUGUUUAAUCUUAUGGCUGUUACUUAAAAUAAUCAAAUUUACUUGAUAUUCAUAUUGUAGGCCUAUGUUUAUUUUGUUUGCUGUUAUGGCUGAUACUUCAAAGUGUUUUAUACUUGAUGUUCUAUAUACAUAUUGUAGACCGUCAUUUCGUUUGCAGCUAUAAUUCACUUGAAAGUAAUUUUUAUGUAUACAUUGCACUUCAAGUUUUAAAUAAAAGUAGAAAAUUAUGAGUUGUAUCAAGUUAAGUAUUUAAAAAUAAUAUUCUUGACUAUGUGGUUAUUUAAAAAAAACUAGUAAUAGAUUUUCAAGGAAAUGUGAUAUUCUAUGAUAUAUAUAGUUAUAGUAAAAUAAAAUGACUUAUUCCAUGAUAUAUAUUUUUGCCUAUAUCGCCCACACCUAGUGCCAUGUUGUCUGGUGUCUCAACUCAGUGGGUCACCCUAAUCUCACACCAAUGGACCUAUUUGAUUCCUGAAAGGAACAGACAUACACGGUGGGGUCCAAGGUAGCCCCAUCCGCUCAGACGAACCAGAAGUGAGGAUGGACAAAUCAACAAAGUAGAAAUAUGACAUUUGUUGGAUUAAUCUCUCUGAUAUUUGGCCUUUUAAUUUGUGUCUCAAAAAGGGAUAAACUCUCCAAUAGCUUUCAAUGCUGUACAUGUCAUGUAUCAUUUGUUACAGGUAAAUGUUUACUGGAUGAAGAAUCCUGCAAGACCAAGAGUCAUGCUUUGGAUGGUGCUAAUUGAAUAUUUGUAAAUGUGUGAAUGCUGGUUUCUUUAUUUUCAUUGUUUUAGCCAAGGUGAGGUGAUCCUAUUAUAGAUGCAAUGGGGGAGUUUGGAAUCGGUCUGUCUAGAUGGGAUAAAUAAUGACGUUUGACUUGAUUCUUGGAGUCUAUCAUUAACAGAAGGUCCUAGCAUACCUUCUUGCUGUAGUGUUAAAUACUUAUGGUAUAUUUAGCAGACUAGGUGGGAGGAUGUUGAAUCAUGUUGGUAUGUAACUGUUUUGUAUUGUGACAUUAUGACUUAAUUGGAAUGAAUUGUAUUACUUUGGAAUAUAGAUUACUACGUCAUUCUUCGUUCAUCUCCAUACUCAAGCUCGUAGAGUUACUCGUAAUUACACACACACGUAAGUCUAAGCGACCAGAUGUGGUAUCCUUAAGUCCUGGAUUCU